GCGCCUCCCAGCCUUGACUGACCGUUGCCCUCCGAAGGCAAAGGUCACACGUUCGAAUCGUGUCGGGUGCGCCA
This 74-nucleotide transfer RNA is filed under the name Bradyrhizobium vignae. Its description in RNAcentral is "Pseudo tRNA". Lineage: Bacteria; Pseudomonadati; Pseudomonadota; Alphaproteobacteria; Hyphomicrobiales; Nitrobacteraceae. The record is from RNAcentral.